RNAcentral lists this ribosomal RNA (435 nucleotides) under uncultured bacterium. RNAcentral describes it as "partial 16S ribosomal RNA". It matches the Rfam family "Bacterial small subunit ribosomal RNA", at positions 29 to 507 of the family's 1533-position model. The record is from RNAcentral.
AGCGAACGCUGGCGGCAGGCUUAACACAUGCAAGUCGAGCGGGCACUUUCGGGUGUCAGCGGCGGACGGGUGAGUAACGCGUGGGAACGUGCCCUCUGGUUCGGAAUAACUCAGGGAAACUUGAGCUAAUACCGGAUACGCCCUUUUGGGGAAAGGCUUGCUGCCGGAGGAUCGGCCCGCGUCUGAUUAGCUAGUUGGUGAGGUAACGGCUCACCAAGGCGACGAUCAGUACCUGGUCUGAGAGGAUGAUCAGCCACACUGGGACUGAGACACGGCCCAGACUCCUACGGGAGGCAGCAGUGGGGAAUAUUGGACAAUGGGCGCAAGCCUGAUCCAGCCAUGCCGCGUGAGUGAUGAAGGCCUUAGGGUUGUAAAGCUCUUUUAUCCGGGACGAUAAUGACGGUACCGGAGGAAUAAGCCCCGGCUAACUUCGUG